GUGAGUAGUUCAGAGUUUGAUCCUGGCUCAGGAUGAACGCUGGCGGCGUGCAUAACACAUUCAAGUCGAACGGUGAAGUGACUUCGGUCACGGAUCAGUGGCGGACGUGUGAGUAACGCGUGAAUAACCUGCCUGUAUGUGGGGGAUAACAACCGGAAACAGUUGCUAAUACCGCAUAAUAUAUGAGAGUCGCAUGUCUUUCAUAUCAAAGAUUUAUUGCAUACAGAUGGAUUCGCGUCCGAUUAGAUAGUUGGUGAGGUAACGGCCCACCAAGUCGACGAUCGGUAGCCGGACUGAGAGGUUGAACGGCCACAUUGGAACUGAGAUACGGUCCAG
RNAcentral lists this ribosomal RNA (336 nucleotides) under uncultured bacterium. RNAcentral's name for it is "bacterial SSU rRNA". It matches the Rfam family "Bacterial small subunit ribosomal RNA", at positions 1 to 334 of the family's 1533-position model. The record is from RNAcentral.